This 736-nucleotide ribosomal RNA is filed under the name uncultured bacterium. RNAcentral's name for it is "bacterial SSU rRNA". It matches the Rfam family "Bacterial small subunit ribosomal RNA", at positions 649 to 1383 of the family's 1533-position model. The record is from RNAcentral.
UNGGAGAGGAAAGUGGAAUUCNUAGUGUAGCGGUGAAAUGCGUAGAUAUUAGGAAGAACACCAGUGGCGAAGGCGACUUUCUGGACGAAAACUGACGCUGAGGCGCGAAAGCCAGGGGAGCGAACGGGAUUAGAUACCCCGGUAGUCCUGGCCGUAAACGAUGGGUACUAGGUGUAGGAGGUAUCGACCCCCUCUGUGCCGGAGUUAACGCAAUAAGUACCCCGCCUGGGGAGUACGACCGCAAGGUUGAAACUCAAAGGAAUUGACGGGGGCCCGCACAAGCGGUGGAGUAUGUGGUUUAAUUCGACGCAACGCGAAGAACCUUACCAGGUCUUGACAUUGAUGGACAGAACUAGAGAUAGUUCCUCUUCUUCGGAAGCCAGAAAACAGGUGGUGCACGGUUGUCGUCAGCUCGUGUCGUGAGAUGUUGGGUUAAGUCNNNNNACGAGCGCAACCCCUAUCUUAUGUUGCCAGCACUUUGGGUGGGGACUCAUGAGAGACUGCCGCAGACAAUGCGGAGGAAGGCGGGGAUGACGUCAAAUCAUCAUGCCCCUUAUGACCUGGGCUACACACGUACUACAAUGGGAGUUAAUAGACGGAAGCGAGAUCGCGAGAUGGAGCAAACCCGAGAAACACUCUCUCAGUUCGGAUCGUAGGCUGCAACUCGCNUACGUGAAGUCGGAAUCGCUAGUAAUCGCAGGUCAGCAUACUGCGGUGAAUACGUUCCCGGGCCUUG